GUUUUUAUAGUUGAAUUACAACAGUGGUUUUUCGUAUCACAGGCCUUGGUUAAAAGCUGAGUAAAAACU
RNAcentral lists this transfer RNA (69 nucleotides) under Oreolalax major (common lazy toad). RNAcentral describes it as "tRNA-Glu". The record is from RNAcentral. Lineage: Eukaryota; Metazoa; Chordata; Amphibia; Anura; Megophryidae.